GCCUGGGUGACGGAACUGGUAUACGUAGGGGACUUAAAAUCCCCGGCCGCAAGGCAUAAGGGUUCGAUUCCCUUCCCAGGCA
This 82-nucleotide transfer RNA is filed under the name Candidatus Taylorbacteria bacterium RIFCSPHIGHO2_01_FULL_43_47. Its description in RNAcentral is "tRNA-Leu". It matches the Rfam family "tRNA". From Rfam's summary of the family: Transfer RNA (tRNA) molecules are approximately 80 nucleotides in length. Their secondary structure includes four short double-helical elements and three loops (D, anti-codon, and T loops). RNAcentral also lists the same sequence under 3 other names. Lineage: Bacteria; Candidatus Tayloriibacteriota. The record is from RNAcentral.